GCACGGGUGAGUAACACGUGAAUCAUCUACCUCCGAAUGGGGAAUAACUGAGAGAAAUCUUAGCUAAUACCGCAUAAUACCUACGGGUCAAAGCAGCAAUGCGUUUGGAGAGGAGUUCGCGGUCGAUUAGUUAGUUGGCAGGGUAAAAGCCUACCAAGACUGUGAUCGAUAGCCGGCCUGAGAGGGCACACGGCCACACUGGCACUGAAACACGGGCCAGACUCCUACGGGAGGCAGCAGUGGGGAAUCUUGCACAAUGGAGGAAACUCUGAUGCAGCGACGCCGCGUGAGCGAUGACGCCCUUCGGGGUGUAAAGCUCUUUCGGCAGGGAAGAUAAUGACGGUACCUGCAGAAGCAGCUGCGGCUAACUACGUGCCAGCAGCCGCGGUAAUACGUAGGCAGCAAGCGUUGUUCGGAGUUACUGGGCGUAAAGGGUGCGUAGGCGGCUUUUUAAGUUUGGUGUGAAAUCUCCCGGCUCAACUGGGAGGGUGCGCCGAAUACUGAGAGGCUAGAGUGUCGGAGAGGUAAGUGGAAUUCCUGGUGUAGCGGUGAAAUGCGUAGAUUCAGGAGGAACACCGGUGGUG
RNAcentral lists this ribosomal RNA (584 nucleotides) under uncultured bacterium. Its description in RNAcentral is "bacterial SSU rRNA". It matches the Rfam family "Bacterial small subunit ribosomal RNA", at positions 100 to 717 of the family's 1533-position model. The record is from RNAcentral.